RNAcentral lists this ribosomal RNA (279 nucleotides) under Triticum aestivum (bread wheat). Its description in RNAcentral is "partial small subunit ribosomal RNA". The record is from RNAcentral. Lineage: Eukaryota; Viridiplantae; Streptophyta; Magnoliopsida; Poales; Poaceae.
AUGAGUCACUGUCGAAGCUUGACCUGACAAUUUUGCGAAGGUUCCUCCUCCGGAGAUGAGGAACUCAUGAUGGCUGCAAUCAUAGCAGAGGAAGAACAAGCCCGAUUGGAUGCUCCACGACGUGGAGGUUCACAACCGGUUUGUCAAUCUCUUCAGCACGAUUUUGCAGAACGCUUUCAGAACCUCCACAAGGACCUUUUUGUACAUAACUGUACCUUCACCCCAAGGUUGUUUCGCAACAAGUAUGAAACCAGUGUAUCUGCUUCGAUUUCACCAUAG